Chrysemys picta bellii (western painted turtle) is the source of this 451-nucleotide non-coding RNA. NCBI's taxonomy places the organism in Eukaryota, Metazoa, Chordata, Testudines, Emydidae. The record is from RefSeq and is a predicted model, not a curated record.
GACAUUCAUUGAGAUCUGCAAAGGGCCCCCACUUGGAAUGGGCACUGUAAGAGGCCCUACAGAAAAAUGUAUUUGAACUAAAAGAAAAGAAAAGCAGCCCAGUUGUGCAGACAACUUACUCCCCCAGCCCAGACCACAAAAGGGAAUGCUAGGGAGGGGUGAGCCAAUCAACCUGCUGACUAUUUUGAAACAAAGAGUUAGGAUGGUAUAAAAACCUCAGGGAGCUUGGAGCCUGUCUCUUCCAACAGAAACACUCUUGAAUUGCUGCUGGACUGCAAGAGGAGUGUGAUCUGGUUAGCAUGGAACCAGGAACUUUAAGCUGCAUUUCACCACCAGGCCAAGGUAAAAACCAUUUUAACUAUAGAUGUGCUUAAUACUGUUAAAUUAAAAAAAAAACAACCUUCAGGUAUUGCACAGGUUGUAUAGGGAUUUGGGGGUAAUCCUAACUUAA